Molecule: ribosomal RNA, 266 nt
Filed under: Klebsiella pneumoniae
Lineage: Bacteria; Pseudomonadati; Pseudomonadota; Gammaproteobacteria; Enterobacterales; Enterobacteriaceae
Description: partial 16S ribosomal RNA
Rfam family: Bacterial small subunit ribosomal RNA
Source: RNAcentral
GCCCUUACGACCAGGGCUACACACGUGCUACAAUGGCAUAUACAAAGAGAAGCGACCUCGCGAGAGCAAGCGGACCUCAUAAAGUAUGUCGUAGUCCGGAUUGGAGUCUGCAACUCGACUCCAUGAAGUCGGAAUCGCUAGUAAUCGUAGAUCAGAAUGCUACGGUGAAUACGUUCCCGGGCCUUGUACACACCGCCCGUCACACCAUGGGAGUGGGUUGCAAAAGAAGUAGGUAGCUUAACCUUCGGGAGGGCGCUUACCACUUU